RNAcentral lists this ribosomal RNA (209 nucleotides) under uncultured bacterium. RNAcentral describes it as "partial 16S ribosomal RNA". It matches the Rfam family "Bacterial small subunit ribosomal RNA", at positions 524 to 730 of the family's 1533-position model. The record is from RNAcentral.
UACGGGGGGUGCGAGCGUUGUCCGGAAUCACUGGGCGUAAAGGGCGCGUAGGUGGUUUGAUAAGGGUGUGGUGAAAGUCCGGGGCUCAACCCCCGGAUCUGCCGUGCCGACUGUCAAACUCGAGGACUGUAGAGGCAGACGGAAUUCCGGGUGUAGCGGUCGGAAUGCGUAGAGAUCCGGAGGAAGACCGGUGGCGAAGGCCAGCCCCC